Molecule: RNA transcript, 1160 nt
Organism: Salvia splendens (bonfire salvia)
Lineage: Eukaryota; Viridiplantae; Streptophyta; Magnoliopsida; Lamiales; Lamiaceae
Gene name: protein NDL2
Exons: 4
Source: RefSeq, a predicted model, not a curated record
AGAGAGAGAGAGAGAGAGAGAGAGAGAGAGAGAGAGAGACGUGGAUUGGUAUUUAAGCUGUUCAUACCAAAUUGAACGCCUCUGUAGCUGGAGAGAGGAAGAUUAAAUAAUUAGAGAGAGAGAGAGAGAGAGAGAGAGAGGAAGAAUUUUAGGAGGAAAGAAAAGACAAUGGCGGACUCCAGCGAUUCCGUCUCCAUCGAUAUGGAGUCUAUUCCGUUUGCCGGCAAGGAGCAUAUAAUCAAGACAGGUCAUGGUUCUGUUUCCGUUGCUGUAUUUGGAGAACAGGACAAGCCAGCUCUUAUUACUUAUCCCGAUUUGGCUUUAAACUUUGACAUGUGACUUCUUUGUCUGCAUGCAACUAAACAGAUAUGUCCUGUUUCCAAGGGCUUUUCUUUUGUCCAGAAGCAUUUUCUCUCCUUCUCCAUAACUUCUGUAUCUACCACAUCAGCCCCCCAGGUCAUGAGUUUCACUCAUUUCUACUGCAGCUUUUUGAGGGCCCCACUAUCUCUCUCUCUCUUUGAAUAAAUGCAAAUGGCAAUGAUGGUUAGAAACAAGAAAUGUGAGUGGUGAGUGAUGAAUGAAAUGGGCAUUUUGUUGAAGGGAGAAGAAAAGGUGUGGUAUUAGGUAACUAGUUUGAGAUGAAUUGUGAAAUGUGAUGGGAAAGAAAAAAACACACUUUUGGAGGGUGAAACGAACAAGUAAAGGGUUAAGGAAAGUGAACAGAGGGGAAAGUCUGAUGCCACUGUUGCACUUAACAGCAGCAGUUGUGAAGAUGAAGAAAGAUGAGAGAGAAAGGCAGUGUGCAAUGAUGACGCAAGCAAUAUUGGGAAAAUCUUUGACGGAUUUCUAUGCCUACAUGCACCUUAAAUUAUGGUGGGUCGAUAACUCGAUAGGGUACUAGUAGUAUACAUCGAAUUUCGGUAUUCCGUCAUAUAGUAGAAAAUUUGAAAAUUCUUCCUUGUCGUAUUCUUUCGGUAAGAUAUCGUACUAUAUCAGAAGUUCAAUAUUUUUGAUAUAUUCCAAAUACGAUAAGGCCGGUACGGUAUUUCAUUAUUUUUUCCCACCUCUAGCUUCAGUGACUACUAUGAUAAAAUGAAAAUGGGGUUUAUUGUUAAAAGUUAAAAGACAAAAAAUAGAGUAUAUAUUAAAAUUUUAUUUUA